GGGCGGUUGAGCCUGAGAAGGGGCAGAGUUUGUGUGUCGCGUAGUGCGCAUGCGUACAGCUGUGUCUGUGGUGUUAAUGGGGUAAAACAAGCCUCGUUUCUUUAGGAGGGGAAAAAGCAAAAGAAGCAGACGGCAUCAGGGCCCUGAAGCUGCCUGAGAAGCAUGGUGGCUAUGGAGGAGCCAGGUUGUUCGACCAUCAUUUCCUAUUAUCCCAAAGACAACACCAUUUGUAAGCUUGUGUCCUUCAGUUUGGAUUAGCUGAAGUUGAUUAGAAACACAUUUAUGCUAACCCCAACUCACAACCUCUGCAGCUCAGAGCUACUGACCAUCAGUUCUGGAGAAGGCAGCUCAUCUCCAUCCAUGAGGCUGAGGUGGGAGAAAUCCACCAACCUGGAAUGAAAGCAAGAGCUUGCAUGGAAUUUGUUUCGCUUCAGCUUCAUGCCAUUAGAGCUCAUUAUGCCUUCUGGGGGGGUCUCAUUUUGCUAGACUCACGUCCAUAAGAAGACAUCUCCAUUGCAUGUAAGGAUUUGACAGCUUUCAGUGCUAAGUGAGCAGAGGGAGUUGGAAAGGUAAAGAAACGGAUUGAAGCUGUGCUGAGGAGCAUUGGACAACAGAACAUUUGGAUUGGAGGGGACCUUAAAUAUUGGUGAACCAUGGGAUGGUUGGGUUGGAAGGGACAUUUAAUAUCAUGUAGUUCCAGCUCCACUUGGGUUGCCUGAAAGAGGUUUGCACAUGAUUUUGAGCUUGGGGGAAAAGAAAAAUCAUAACCUCAAGGAAUGGUUACCCAAGGGGUGUGCCUAGGGGAUGGUGCCCAUCCCAGGGGAUGGAGAGUUGAGAACACUGAAGAAAAAAGCAGAAGCAGAGAGGAAGGAAUGGCAAAUAGCAUGCGUGAAGUUGGAAGGUUUGGGCAAUGCCAAUGUUGUGAUCUCAGUGUUAGGCCCUGACACACACUGAACUCAUGAACUCAUACGUCUGUUCUGCCAGCACAGAAGGGCGUUCUCCUGGAGGAAGAAGUGCACAAACUCUUGUGUCUUCCCAUCUGCAGAAGCUGAGUUUUUGGGCCAUGUCCUAGAAGAUGAGGGAAGCUUGAGGACUCAUAACCAACAACUGCUGCAUUGACUCUUCUGUCCCAGAAGCUUCCAGCACAACCAGAGACCUCACACCUGUAUGACAGCUCUCAGCAUGAAGCAAGUUGAAAUGCUGCCUACUGCUUGGCCACAUCUGCCAGGGACAGUUACUGCCCCUGUCUGUCCCUCUCUUGAUUCCAGCUUUUGCACCUAUCUGAGCUCUUGGAGUUACUGACCACAUCCCAGCUGACAGUGAACAUCCACCCAAGAGCAAGGAUGCAUUCACGAAGCCUAGGAGAGGGGUGUAAAAUGUGCAACAGGGACAUCUAUAGGACCUCCACUUCGUUAGCCAAGGGGAGUCGUGACCAAACCAGAGAGGGAAACAAGAGAUCUGGUAGCAUUCUGCCAACAGCCCACAGUGCAAGUGGUGUGAACCAUCAGUUCAACGCAAGAGAACAAGGAACAAAAAGGCAUUUCCACGCCACAGGUAUGUUCCCUCCAGCCAGCUUGGUGGCACAGCUCCUGGGGCCAAAGGGGCAGAGAGCAGCGGGGCCACGGGGCAUCUUCUGCAGGAAGGGCUUUUUGUUUUCUCUAUUUCAUUUUUGCACUUGGGAAGGAAGGCACACACAGCCCAAAGAGGUGCAGGCUGUGCCAAAGGAUGACAGCAGACCCCACAAACCCAAUCGCGAGGCAUUCCCAAAACAGGUCUCCCUAUAUUUGCCUUUUGCUUCCCAAAGUGCAAGCUUCCUUCCUUUCUUUUUCUUUUCCUUUUUUGCUCUGGAUGCUCCAGCAGAUAACAGCAGCUGCUCGAGAGCAGAGUGCAGCCGUAUGUUGCUGCUAACAAGCAUCUCCCAAAGCUGGUUUUCUUCCCACUAUUCCCCUGUGCCUGAUUAGCGCACGGCUCCUCCGAGCGACUUUCACAUUUUCAUUUUACCCUCCCCUUGAAAAUCUUUUUUUUUUUUUUUUUUUUUUCCCUUUUUUUUUUUUUUUUUUUUUUUUUUU
This is a non-coding RNA of Coturnix japonica (Japanese quail), 2069 nucleotides long. The record is from RefSeq and is a predicted model, not a curated record. Lineage: Eukaryota; Metazoa; Chordata; Aves; Galliformes; Phasianidae.